Molecule: non-coding RNA, 81 nt
Filed under: uncultured Dysosmobacter sp.
Lineage: Bacteria; Bacillati; Bacillota; Clostridia; Eubacteriales; Oscillospiraceae
Description: Cyclic di-GMP-I riboswitch
Rfam family: c-di-GMP-I riboswitch aptamer
About the family: GEMM was predicted in a large-scale screen for bacterial structured RNA regulatory elements. Genes associated with GEMM are involved in a diverse array of functions, including chemotaxis regulation, signal transduction, secretion and chitin.
Source: RNAcentral
UUGAAUAGGGCAAACCCGCCGAAAGACGGGGACGCAAAGUUAAGUGUCUAACCGGAGCUUUCCGUAUGAUCGACUGGCCGC